GCUUUUGUUGUUUUUGUUGUUGCCAUGAUAAAAGAAGAGCAGCAUUACAUGAAGGAAGUGCAGUUAAACCAGACUUGAGAAAUUCCAUGCUUUAAGAACAUGACAUCAAGAAACUUUUCCAAUUAUGCUUUGAAAUGGAUAGUGCUGCAGCAAGUUAAAAUGUUUGUAAAUAACUCUGUAGUUCUUUGGAAGAAUUUGAGGCCAUUCUUGAAAUUUCUGGGGUCAAAAAUAUUCACUCUACUCCAUCAAGGGCAUAUCAACACCACUGGCGUGCAAAUUGCCACCAACUCAGCCAUAUGUAUAAGCUUGUGUUGGCACAGUGCAGUUUACAGGAAUCACUCUGCAACUGCUGAGGCACAACUUGGUAGAAGUAAUGCUGCAUAUGGAAAACAAGGCUGUAAUUUCUGCUUAUACAGCAGUGGGUCUGAAAAACAAAUUUCCAACCCUCCUAAAGUGAAGUGGGUGUCAAACAAUGGGACUGUCAACAAUACUUUGACUGUAGUUGCUUACUUGAGGAAGCCCAUGGCUCAGAGAUGGCACAGUAAUGCAAGGCUGGCGCUCAGGAUGCAAAGGAAGAUUCAACAGGGAAAAGCAGAAAAAAAUAAAAAAUAA
This 612-nucleotide long non-coding RNA is filed under the name Numida meleagris (helmeted guineafowl). Its description in RNAcentral is "lncRNA (ENSNMEG00000010189.1)". Lineage: Eukaryota; Metazoa; Chordata; Aves; Galliformes; Numididae. The record is from RNAcentral.